AGUGUAGUUAAUAGCUGCAUUAUUUGACGUUAGCGACAGAAGAAGCACCGGCUAACUCCGUGCCAGCAGCCGCGGUAAUACGGAGGGUGCGAGCGUUAAUCGGAAUUACUGGGCGUAAAGCGCAUGCAGGUGGUUUGUUAAGUCAGAUGUGAAAGCCCGGGGCUCAACCUCGGAAUUGCAUUUGAAACUGGCAGACUAGAGUACUGUAGAGGGGGGUAGAAUUUCAGGUGUAGCGGUGAAAUGCGUAGAGAUCUGAAGGAAUACCGGUGGCGAAGGCGGCCCCCUGGACAGAUACUGACACUCAGAUGCGAAAGCGUGGGGAGCAAACAGGAUUAGAUACCCUGGUAGUCCACGCCGUAAACGAUGUCUACUUGGAGGUUGUGGCCUUGAGCCGUGGCUUUCGGAGCUAACGCGUUAAGUAGACCGCCUGGGGAGUACGGUCGCAAGAUUAAAACUCAAAUGAAUUGACGGGGGCCCGCACAAGCGGUGGAGCAUGUGGUUUAAUUCGAUGCAACGCGAAGAACCUUACCUAC
This 533-nucleotide ribosomal RNA is filed under the name Vibrio parahaemolyticus. Its description in RNAcentral is "bacterial SSU rRNA". It matches the Rfam family "Bacterial small subunit ribosomal RNA", at positions 446 to 978 of the family's 1533-position model. The record is from RNAcentral. Lineage: Bacteria; Pseudomonadati; Pseudomonadota; Gammaproteobacteria; Vibrionales; Vibrionaceae.